AGAGUUUGAUUCUGGCUCAGGAUGAACGCUAGCUACAGGCUUAACACAUGCAAGUCGAGGGGCAGCAUUGGAGUAGCAAUACUCAGAUGGCGACCGGCGCACGGGUGAGUAACACGUAUCCAACCUACCGCUUACUCGGGGAUAGCCUUUCGAAAGAAAGAUUAAUACCCGAUGGUAUAAAGAGUUCGCAUGUUCUCUUUAUUAAAGAAUUUCGGUAAGCGAUGGGGAUGCGUUCCAUUAGAUAGUUGGCGGGGUAACGGCCCACCAAGUCUACGAUGGAUAGGGGUUCUGAGAGGAAGGUCCCCCACAUUGGAACUGAGACACGGUCCAAACUCCUACGGGAGGCAGCAGUGAGGAAUAUUGGUCAAUGGACGAGAGUCUGAACCAGCCAAAAGUAGCGUGAAGGAUGACUGCCCUAUGGGUUGUAAACUUCUUUUAUAAGGGAAUAAAGUGAGGGACGUGUCCCUUUUUGUAUGUACCUUAUGAAUAAGGAUCGGCUAACUCCGUGCCAGCCGCCGC
This 519-nucleotide ribosomal RNA is filed under the name uncultured bacterium. RNAcentral's name for it is "bacterial SSU rRNA". It matches the Rfam family "Bacterial small subunit ribosomal RNA", at positions 8 to 518 of the family's 1533-position model. The record is from RNAcentral.